Molecule: ribosomal RNA, 449 nt
Filed under: uncultured bacterium
Lineage: Bacteria
Description: bacterial SSU rRNA
Rfam family: Bacterial small subunit ribosomal RNA
Source: RNAcentral
AACGAACGCUGGCGGCAGGCUUAACACAUGCAAGUCGAGCGCCCCGCAAGGGGAGCGGCAGACGGGUGAGUAACGCGUGGGAACAUACCCUUUGGUUCGGAAUAACUCAGGGAAACUUGAGCUAAUACCGGAUACGUCCGUAAGGAGAAAGAUUUAUCGCCAAAGGAUUGGCCCGCGUCCGAUUAGCUAGUUGGUGAGGUAACGGCUCACCAAGGCUACGAUCGGUAGCUGGUCUGAGAGGAUGAUCAGCCACAUUGGGACUGAGACACGGCCCAAACUCCUACGGGAGGCAGCAGUGGGGAAUAUUGGACAAUGGGCGCAAGCCUGAUCCAGCCAUGCCGCGUGAGUGAUGAAGGCCUUAGGGGUUGUAAAGCUCUUUUGUCCGGGAAGAUAAUGACUGUACCGGAAGAAUAAGCCCCGGCUAACUUCGUGCCAGCAGCCGCGGUAAU